Molecule: ribosomal RNA, 467 nt
Filed under: Microcoleus vaginatus MDM25
Lineage: Bacteria; Bacillati; Cyanobacteriota; Cyanophyceae; Oscillatoriales; Microcoleaceae
Description: bacterial SSU rRNA
Rfam family: Bacterial small subunit ribosomal RNA
Source: RNAcentral
AAUGGGCGAAAGCCUGACGGAGCAAGACCGCGUGGGGGAAGAAGGCUCUUGGGUUGUAAACCCCUUUUCUCUGGGAAGAAAGUUGUGAAAGCAACCUGACGGUACCAGAGGAAUCAGCAUCGGCUAACUCCGUGCCAGCAGCCGCGGUAAGACGGAGGAUGCAAGCGUUAUCCGGAAUGAUUGGGCGUAAAGCGUCCGCAGGUGGCAGUUCAAGUCUGCUGUCAAAGACCGGGGCUUAACUUCGGAAAGGCAGUGGAAACUGAACAGCUAGAGUAUGGUAGGGGCAGAGGGAAUUCCUGGUGUAGCGGUGAAAUGCGUAGAGAUCAGGAAGAACAUCGGUGGCGAAGGCGCUCUGCUGGACCAUAACUGACACUCAGGGACGAAAGCUAGGGGAGCGAAUGGGAUUAGAUACCCCAGUAGUCCUAGCCGUAAACGAUGGAUACUAGGUGUUGUCUGUAUCGACCCGG